UCUUUCUUUCUUUCUUUCUUUCUUUCUUUCUUUCUCUGUCUCUCACUCCUCUCUCUCGCUUUCUUUUUCUCUCUUUCUUUCUCUGUCUCUCGCUCCUCUGUCUCUCUCGCUUUCUUUCUGUCUCUCGCUAUUCUGUCUCUCCCGCUGCUGCUGCUGAGAUAAUACGGGUCACCCUGUAAAAGGUCAUUAAAACACAAGGUUCUGACUUUUUCAGCACAACUCUUAACUGAAAAAUCUGUGUUUUUCCAACCAGCCUAUCUUCCACAGCUUGGUGUGGAGCAGGACACUUUUUGUUGUUGUAAUGUAACGGUUUGUUCUCUUUAGUGUUACAUAUACUGUAUAAGGUUACACAAACAUUGAGGCCCUGUCACACACAUGGGCAAAUAAUGAUGAAUCAAAACAUGUUGAUUGUUGCCUAGAUGUAGUGAUAUGGGCUAACGGUUUAGCAAUCAAAUGUGUUAUUUUCUGGAAAUAUGCUACAUUCAGUUUCAGACUGAAGAAUUGUUCUCAUCUCGCUCUGAACAUACUGUUGAGUGAUAGUCAUAGGAAAGGUUAGAGGGUAUGUCUAACAUGCGUUUCAAUUUCUGGUGUAGAUACAUUUACUCAAGUUGUACAUUUACUCAAAGAAAUCACAUUUGGAUAUGUAACCUUUUUAUUGUGUGAAUGUUCCGCUGUCCCAUUGUAUGAUAUUCUGACAGUCCGGUUGUUGUUAGUAUUGAUGAAUGACCGAGAGAGAUUCUGUCUUGUCAGAUUGUUGGUAGUGGGUUGUAGGUUGAAGGAGGGCGGACAACAUCCUGUCUGGGACUGUUAUCAGAUAAGACUCAGUGUUGAGGAGCAACAUUAAGGUGUGUGUUUGUCUCAGUAAUGGCAAAAUGGAAACCCUCUGGUGCCGUUGUAACAAAAGCUGCUUUUACAUAGUCUGGCCCUGGCCAUGUUCUUUCUGUCGUUCAACUCUCUGGGUCUCUCCCUCUGUGCACUUCCCUGCUAAUGCCGUGCCAUCUGUUGAAGGGGGUUCUGAGGGUGAUUUUUGUACACACACACAAGAAUAUGUCUGACAUGUUUCUGUGGAUUGACACAAUGGGUAUAGCGUAGUGGUUCAGGCUGAGUGGUGGAUCAGGUUACUGUUUGUAUAUUGGGAGAAACUGAAGAGGAACAGUAGCAGUCUAUUAGCAAGUCCCUGUACCACCUUGAGUUGCGGGUAUUUGGCCCAUUGGAUUUGGUUUAACAGAUGCCCCCCGUCCAGAGAGCUACAACCAUUCUGCCAUUACUGUGGGUCUGUUAGUUGGGCCUCUGUAUCAGCUUAACCAUGAGUUACUUAGUGUUUUUCAUGGCGUUUCAAUAUGAGGCUUUUUAUUUCAGCUUUUUUUUACGUUCGUUUUAAAAAGCUUUUCCAUUUGUGUGUAUCCUCUGCACUUUACUUCUGCGUGAGCGAGUCGAUGUGAAGGGAGGGACUGACGAUGCAUUGUGUGAGUGAAGUGAUGUGUUGGGUCAUGGAGGAGGGAGGUGGUUGGUUUGGUGAGUGGCUGUUUGAGUAAGGAAAAGGAGGAGAAUCAAUCUGGAGGUGGAUAGCGUGGAAGGGACCAUGGCAUAAGGAAAUGUUUUGUUUAGUUCAUAAAUUUGUUGAAUUUUUUUCCUGUAAGUCAAUAGACUGGCUCUAAUAUGGACUCCCAAAGAGAGAAGUUGUAAUGUUGGGCCUUUUUUAAUAAUGUACAUUUAACAGACUCUGCUAACUUUCAGAAGUAAAAAACGAGUAGCCAUAAUUAUCACAUAUUUGUGUGCUGUCGUGUGUUCUUCUCUGUCAGAUCCUAUGUGGUAUUGGUAGCUUCAUG
Molecule: long non-coding RNA, 1829 nt
Filed under: Salmo salar (Atlantic salmon)
Lineage: Eukaryota; Metazoa; Chordata; Actinopteri; Salmoniformes; Salmonidae
Description: lncRNA (ENSSSAG00000110023.1)
Source: RNAcentral